Molecule: non-coding RNA, 202 nt
Filed under: Winogradskyella sp. PC-19
Lineage: Bacteria; Pseudomonadati; Bacteroidota; Flavobacteriia; Flavobacteriales; Flavobacteriaceae
Also listed under: 1 other name
Source: RNAcentral
AAUUUCGCACCGAAAUCUGGUUCGAUUCAUAAACUAUUUAUGUUUCGAUUAAAAGGGAAUCUGGUUAAAAUCCAGAACUGUUCCCGCAACUGUAAGCUAUAAAGCUUGUUGUUACCUUCAAAGUCACUGUUUCAAAUUUUAGAAAUGGGAAGACAAACAACAAGACGCAAGUCAGGAGACCUGCCAAUUUCAACAUAGAAGU